This 447-nucleotide ribosomal RNA is filed under the name uncultured bacterium. RNAcentral's name for it is "partial 16S ribosomal RNA". It matches the Rfam family "Bacterial small subunit ribosomal RNA", at positions 330 to 793 of the family's 1533-position model. The record is from RNAcentral.
UCCAGACUCCUACGGGAGGCAGCAGUGGGGGAUAUUGCACAAUGGGGGGAACCCUGAUGCAGCGACGCCGCGUGGGUGAAGGAGCGUUUCGGCGCGUAAAGCCCUAUCGGCAGGGAAGAAGGAGGACGGUACCUGACUAAGAAGCCCCGGCUAACUACGUGCCAGCAGCCGCGGUAAUACGUAGGGGGCAAGCGUUAUCCGGAUUUACUGGGUGUAAAGGGGGCGCAGACGGCGGCGCAAGCCAGGAGUGAAAGCCCGGGGCCCAACCCCGGGACUGCUCUUGGAACUGCGCGGCUGGAGUGCAGGAGGGGCAGGCGGAAUUCCUGGUGUAGCGGUGAAAUGCGUAGAUAUCAGGAGGAACACCGGUGGCGAAGGCGGCCUGCUGGACUGCGACUGACGUUGAGGCCCGAAAGCGUGGGGAGCAAACAGGAUUAGAUACCCCAGUAC